Molecule: long non-coding RNA, 516 nt
Organism: Populus trichocarpa (black cottonwood)
Lineage: Eukaryota; Viridiplantae; Streptophyta; Magnoliopsida; Malpighiales; Salicaceae
Exons: 3
Source: RefSeq, a predicted model, not a curated record
CCCAAGCCUAGGCAAGAUUGGGCGCUUUGCCUUGAAAGAGAAUACAAUUUAAAGCCGACUGCUAGCCGUCCCUCAAACAUAAUAAAUGUUGUUUUGUUUUUAAGGUUUUCAUUAUAAAAAUAAGAGUUUAAUUCGGUUUAUAAAAUACAGUACUGGUUUCUCCAAUCUUAACAUCUAAAAUCCUGAAGAAUCUUUGGUAGAGAGAUGAGAGACCCCAAUUAUGGUUAUCCUUACCCUGCUCAAGGUUAUUAUCAAGGACCUCCAGUGAUGGCACCUCCACAAUAUUAUGCCGCUCCACCACCUCCGAGAGAGCCUGGUUUCCUUGAGGGAUGCCUUGCAGCUUUGCGCUGUUGCUCCCUUAUUGAGUGUUGCUGCGACCCCUCCUUCAUUUUUUGUUGACAGAGGUAGCUAUCAUGCUUCUUCUAAGAAUAGUUACAGCUAUGUGAUAAAUGUUGAGUUAUACUGCAUGGUUUAUAUGAAUUACAAAAAAAUAAAUAAAAACAUCUUCUUUUUAUU